GAUGAAGAACGCAGCGAACGUGCGAAACGUAAUGUGAAUUGCAGAAUUCAGUGAAUCAUCGAAUCUUUGAACGCAUCUUGCGCUCCUUGGUAUUCCGAGGAGCAUGCCUGUUUGAGUGUCGUGAAUACUCUCAACUUCAACCCUUUUUUCGGAAAGGGAGGAAGGUUGGACUUGGGUGUUUGUUGAAGUGCGAGCUUCGACUCAUCCUAAAUGCAUUAGCGAUCUGCCUCGAUCACACACAAGGUGAUAAUUAAAACUAAAGCAUUGUUUAAUGAUCAAGUCGAGACUGCUUCUAACUGUCGCAAGACAAUAACGUGCAUACAUUUGUGCAUGUCAUUUGACCUCAAAUCAGGUAGGACUACCCGCUGAACUUAAGCAUAUCAAUAAGCGGAGGA
RNAcentral lists this unclassified non-coding RNA (395 nucleotides) under soil metagenome. RNAcentral's name for it is "partial contains 5.8S ribosomal RNA, internal transcribed spacer 2, and large subunit ribosomal RNA". The stretch from base 1 to 121 matches the Rfam family "5.8S ribosomal RNA", at positions 35 to 154 of the family's 154-position model. The record is from RNAcentral.